Molecule: ribosomal RNA, 389 nt
Filed under: uncultured bacterium
Lineage: Bacteria
Description: bacterial SSU rRNA
Rfam family: Bacterial small subunit ribosomal RNA
Source: RNAcentral
ACUCCUACGGGAGGCAGCAGUGGGAAUAUUGCACAAUGGGCGCAAGCCUGAUGCAGCCAUGCCGCGUGUGUGAAGAAGGGCCUUCGGGUUGAUGAAAUGCACUUUCAGUCGUGAGGAAGGUGGUGUAGUUAAUAGCUGCAUUAUUUGACGUUAGCGACAGAAGAAGCACCGGCUAACUCCGUGCCAGCAGCCGCGGUAAUACGGAGGGUGCGAGCGUUAAUCGGAAUUACUGGGCGUAAAGCGCAUGCAGGUGGCUUUGUUAAGUCAGAUGUGAAAGCCCGGGGCUCAACCUCGGAAUUGCAUUUGAAACUGGCAGACUAGAGUACUGUAGAGGGGGUGAGAAUUGAUCAGGUGUAGCGGUGAAAUGCGUAGAGAUCUGAAGGAAUACC